GGAAUCUUGCGCAAUGGGCGAAAGCCUGACGCAGCAACGCCGCGUGGAGGAUGAAGGCCCUUGGGUUGUAAACUCCUGUCGGCUGGGAAGAAAUCAUACGGUGCUAAUACCACCGUGUGUUGACUGUACCAGCAAGGGAAGCCCCGGCUAACCCUGUGCCCGCAGCCGCGGUAAUACAGAGGGGGCCAGCGUUAUUCGGAAUUAUUGGGCGUAAAGGGCGCGUAGGCGGCCAUGCGUGUCUUCCGUGAAAUCCCUCGGCUUAACUGAGGACGUGCGGAAGAAACUGCAAGGCUCGAGUCCGGGAGAGGGGGGUGGAAUUCCCAGUGUAGCGGUGAAAUGCGUAGAUAUUGGGAGGAACACCGGUGGCGAAGGCGGCCCCCUGGACCGGUACUGACGCUGAGGCGCGAAAGCGUGGGUAGCAAA
RNAcentral lists this ribosomal RNA (423 nucleotides) under uncultured bacterium. RNAcentral's name for it is "bacterial SSU rRNA". It matches the Rfam family "Bacterial small subunit ribosomal RNA", at positions 358 to 772 of the family's 1533-position model. The record is from RNAcentral.